RNAcentral lists this ribosomal RNA (468 nucleotides) under uncultured bacterium. Its description in RNAcentral is "partial 16S ribosomal RNA". It matches the Rfam family "Bacterial small subunit ribosomal RNA", at positions 28 to 507 of the family's 1533-position model. The record is from RNAcentral.
GACGAACGCUGGCGGCGUGCUUAACACAUGCAAGUCGAACGGCAAGGCACUGCUUUUGUGGGGUGCUCGAGUGGCGAACGGGUGAGUAACACGUGAGUAACCUGCCCUUGACUUUGGGAUAACUUCAGGAAACUGGGGCUAAUACCGGAUAGGAGCUCCUGCUGCAUGGUGGGGGUUGGAAAGUUUCGGCGGUUGGGGAUGGACUCGCGGCUUAUCAGCUUGUUGGUGGGGUAGGGGCUUACCAAGGCUUUGACGGGUAGCCGGCCUGAGAGGGUGACCGGCCACAUUGGGACUGAGAUACGGCCCAGACUCCUACGGGAGGCAGCAGUGGGGAAUAUUGCACAAUGGGCGGAAGCCUGAUGCAGCAACGCCGCGUGCGGGAUGACGGCCUUCGGGUUGUAAACCGCUUUCGCCUGUGACGAAGCGUGAGUGACGGUAAUGGGUAAAGAAGCACCGGCUAACUACGUG